RNAcentral lists this ribosomal RNA (373 nucleotides) under uncultured bacterium. RNAcentral describes it as "bacterial SSU rRNA". It matches the Rfam family "Bacterial small subunit ribosomal RNA", at positions 523 to 898 of the family's 1533-position model. The record is from RNAcentral.
AUACGGAGGGUGCAAGCGUUAUCCGGAUUUAUUGGGUUUAAAGGGUCCGCAGGCUGAUUAAUAAGUCAGGGGUGAAAUCCGGCAGCUUAACUGUCGAACUGCCUUUGAAACUGUUAGUCUUGAGUAAGAAUGAAGCAGCUGGAAUGUGUGGUGUAGCGGUGAAAUGCAUAGAUAUCACACAGAACACCGAUAGCGAAGGCAGGUUGCUAAUUCUUUACUGACGCUGAGGGACGAGAGCGGGGGGAGCAAACAGGAUUAGAUACCCUGGUAGUCCACGCCGUAAACGAUGGAUACUGUCUGUUGGAUUUUCGGAUUCAGUGGAUAAGCGAAAGUGAUAAGUAUCCCACCUGGGGAGUACGUUCGCAAGAAUGAA